UACGUAGGGCGCAAGCGUUAUCCGGGAUUACUGGGCGUAAAGGGCUCGUAGGCGGCCAACUAAGUCAGACGUGAAAUCCCUAGGCUCAACCUGGGAACUGCGUCUGAUACUGGUUGGCUUGAAUCCGGGAGAGGGAUGCAGAAUUCCAGGUGUAGCGGUGAAAUGCGUAGAUAUCUGGAGGAAUACCGGUGGCGAAGGCGGCAUCCUGGACCGGCAUUGACGCUGAGGAGCGAAAGCCAGGGGAGCAAACGGG
This 253-nucleotide ribosomal RNA is filed under the name uncultured bacterium. Its description in RNAcentral is "partial 16S ribosomal RNA". It matches the Rfam family "Bacterial small subunit ribosomal RNA", at positions 524 to 776 of the family's 1533-position model. The record is from RNAcentral.